This 2201-nucleotide long non-coding RNA is filed under the name Marmota monax (woodchuck). Lineage: Eukaryota; Metazoa; Chordata; Mammalia; Rodentia; Sciuridae. The record is from RNAcentral.
UUUUAAUAUAUAACCAGCAAUUGAACCCAGGGGCAAGGGAGCUCAACCAAUGAACUGCAUGCCCAGCCCUUUUUAUUUAUUAUCUUUUUAUUUUUUAAUUUUGAGACAGGGUCUCACUAAGUUGUUGAGGCUGGCUUCGAACUUGUAAUCCCCCUGCCUCAACCUUCCAAGCUGUUGGGAGUACAUGCAUACACCACUGCACCCAGCAAAUCUAUUGAAAUUUGAGGCUCAUGACUUUUUGGCAAUACUUUAGGGUUGUAGAAAGAAGGCCAAAGUCCAAUUUUCUUCUUCAAUCAACUAACAGUGAUUGAUAAUACACCAAGUGCUAACCAUGGGCAUGACAAUUACAACAGCUGCCCUUGGAAGAUUAUAAUCCAGGGAGGAGCAGCUCUGGAGCCUGACAAAUGUAGAUGAAACAAACAAACAUAAGUCUUCAUGACUGGUGAACUGGGCUUUAACAUAACCAAGAUCAAUUGAAACCAGGUUUUUUAAAAAUAUGCCUUUAGAUAAAUUGCAUUUCAUUUCCCUAGCCAAAGUAUACCAUUAAAUUCAAACACAACAAUCUGUUAGAUCUUCUUUUUUUAUUUCUCCAUAUUAAUUGUUUAGAAUGCCAGCUGUCUCUGUUCAUUUUGUAUUUUAAUGUAGACUUGACAGUGCUGUUUUCUCCUCCCUAAGCUGAACCAUAAAGAGAGGAUCUGGUUUGUGACAAUAUAUCCUUGGGGAUUUACUGUAAACUAACUAUCGGGUAGUCUUCAUGAAAACAAAGUUUUAAAUCAGUUUUACAGAUCAAGGAAUCUUCUCAGUUUAAAUAGAAUCUGUUAAGCUUGAUAUAUAUCUAGAUAAUCAUCAAAUACACUCAAGAGAAAUAUGAAUGCAAAAUAACCAAAAUAACCAAUUUACCCAUGUGAGGAUGUGGGUAAAUAAUUUCCUUUUACUGGUGACAUUUAGGUAUUAAAGUAGCAUUAGCCAGAUGACAAGUAUAUGAAAUUUCUGUAGCACAAGAAGAGAAAACACAAGCUUUAAUUAACACGAUUGGUCUUGGUUUUGUACAGAUCCUAGGAGCCACUCACAUUUCAGAAGCCAUUUUUCCAAAACAGUAUCUUUAUGUAUUUUAAGCCUUGCUCUCCUUUUUUAAAAAGGUGAUAGGAAACCUUCUUGUAGCUACAAGCAUCCUAAUGGAUGCAAGGAUAUUAGAAGGGUUCUCAGAAUGACUACCUGGGAAGAUCCCUAGGUUGAUGGCAAAAAAAUUUUGUAUCCUGGUAACCUUGGCUCAAAAAUAAAAAUUAAAAUGGUAGGGAAAGUUUUCAAGGCAUGUAGACGUGUUUUUCUCAUGUUUCCCAGCUUGGGAAAUGGUCCCAGAUUUCACAAUGCAAUUGUCAUAUACCAUCAACCACUAGAAUUAAUAUAUCAGGGUUUUCUAAUCAUAUUUCUGAACACCAUGUUUGUGGGACACAUUAGAAGUAAGAUCAUAUAAUAAUUAACUUAGAAACUCAUUUCCCUUGAAAAAGGUUCAUGGAAGAUCUACAUUUUAUUGAAUUUUUCUCUACAGCAAGAGUUCUUCCAGUGAAGUUUCAGUGUGUGGAUUUGUGGUUUGGAGCUAGUUACUUGAUUUUUAAAAGUUCUUUAUUUGUUUAUUGGUACUGUGUUGUUUCUAAAGGGUGUGAGGCUGCUAUUAAAAUACACAAAAGUGAGCAACUCAAUAAAUAUAGAAACAGAAGGCUAUGGCAAAGUAUUGAAAUAACAAGACUUGAAUGUCACAGAUCGUAGAUACUCUUUAAACCUGGAUUUCACUAAGUAUGUGCCUGGUGUAUAGUAGGUAUUCAAUAAAUGUCUGAUGGAUGGAUGGAUGAGCAAACUGAAGGAAAACAAAAUUUUAUUCAGCAAUUAUUCAUAGAGUCCCUAUGACAUGGCAUAUGUUGAUACAAUAAUCAGUAAGAUAGAAAUCCAGACCUUAAGAAAUAGGGGACUGGGAUAUACAAGUAAAGAACCACAGUGAAUGUGACCAGAUGAGAUGAAGAUGAGAAUAUGCUGUGGGGGUUCGAAUAUGGAAAAGAACUCCUUCCAUUGGAAAGAUCAUAAAGAAGGCAGCCCUGUGUUGAGCCUGUGGAGUGAGCAGAAUCUUGCCAGGUAGAAAUGGGAGGAAGGCCUGCCAAGCAGGGGGUGAGUAAAACAUAGACUGUGGCUGAUGGCUGUCCUCUGAC